AUGGGAGGAAGGUUGUGGGUGUGUUCGGUUGGCAAGGAGCGAUAUGGAGAGAUGACUGAGUUUAGACUCGAUACGAGUGUGCCUCUGUUGGUGGUCACACAACGAAGGGAGGUAGGAAAUAAGCUACAAGGUGGUGGUGAUGAAAUAAUAUGGAAGAAGAAAAGAGGAAUUAAUUCCGUCAAAAUAGGUUUAUGGAUCCAGAGAAGAAAUGGGUUUUGUUCGUCUUGUAAUUUUGAUCUCCCUCCCCCAUCUGUUCGUAAUUUUGUUCAGAUUUUAAAGAUCCAAGGAUUGGAUUCUUUUCAGGAAAUAACUUAA
Vicia faba (fava bean) is the source of this 315-nucleotide non-coding RNA. NCBI's taxonomy places the organism in Eukaryota, Viridiplantae, Streptophyta, Magnoliopsida, Fabales, Fabaceae. The record is from the annotation of a GenBank genome assembly.